UGGGGAAUUUUGGACAAUGGGCGCAAGCCUGAUCCAGCAAUGCCGCGUGAGUGAAGAAGGCCUUCGGGUUGUAAAGCUCUUCUGUCAGGGAAGAAACGGCUGGAGCUAAUAUCUCCGGCUAAUGACGGUACCUGAAGAAUAAGCACCGGCUAACUACGUGCCAUCAGCCGCGGUAAUACGUAGGGUGCGAGCGUUAAUCGGAAUUACUGGGCGUAAAGCGUGCGCAGGCGGUUCGUUGUGUCGGUGGUGAAAGCCCCGGGCUUAACCUGGGAAUGGCCAUGGAAACUGGCGAACUGGAGUGUGGCAGAGGGGGGUGGAAUUCCGCGUGUAGCAGUGAAAUGCGUAGAGAUGCGGAGGAACACCGAUGGCGAAGGCAGCCCCCUGGGCUAGCACUGACGCUCAGGCACGAAAGCGUGGGGAGCAAAC
Molecule: ribosomal RNA, 426 nt
Filed under: uncultured bacterium
Lineage: Bacteria
Description: bacterial SSU rRNA
Rfam family: Bacterial small subunit ribosomal RNA
Source: RNAcentral